Molecule: transfer RNA, 69 nt
Filed under: Ictidomys tridecemlineatus (thirteen-lined ground squirrel)
Lineage: Eukaryota; Metazoa; Chordata; Mammalia; Rodentia; Sciuridae
Description: Spermophilus tridecemlineatus (thirteen-lined ground squirrel) tRNA
Rfam family: tRNA
About the family: Transfer RNA (tRNA) molecules are approximately 80 nucleotides in length. Their secondary structure includes four short double-helical elements and three loops (D, anti-codon, and T loops).
Source: Rfam by way of RNAcentral
GGAGUUGUAGCUCAGUAGUAGAGCACUUGCCUAGCAUACAUGAGGCACUGGGUUCAAUCCUCAGCACCA